Molecule: long non-coding RNA, 460 nt
Organism: Octopus sinensis (East Asian common octopus)
Lineage: Eukaryota; Metazoa; Mollusca; Cephalopoda; Octopoda; Octopodidae
Exons: 3
Source: RefSeq, a predicted model, not a curated record
GUUGAUCUCGGUGGAAUUUGAACUCAGAACGCGAGGACGGAUAAGAUGUCGCUACAUUUUGCCCGGCUUGUUAACGAUUCUGCCAGCUCGCCGCCUUCAAGCGAAUUUCAAUAAUACUACGCCAAAUAUCUUGCGCAAGGAUGACAUUUGAAUAACAUUUGAACGCAAAGUGUUGGCGAGCCUCUGAUCUCUGAAAAUAGCAAAAUAAAACUUUUCUGGACAGUAGCCGGAUUUCACAAAUUUAAAUAUCAUGCCAGACACUUUUUGCCUGUAACCUUUUUCAUCGAAUCGGCGGAGUAAAAGAAAAAAAAAGAAUGGCACACCAAUUCAUUUUUGAGAGAAACAUUAGAGAUUUUUAUCUAAACGCGGUAGUUCAAUUCGUAAUUUGAAAGUAUGAGAGAAACACAAUCAUGUGAGUGAAAACUUAACUACAGCAAGGAUUAUUAGCUGAUACAUUACG